UCUCUGGAGCUCAUGGAUCUGCACACAAGGUGCAGGAAGUAUAGGGUGAGUCUACCAACUCAGUGAGUAAUAAGCAUGUAUAAAAACCCGAAGAUAAGAAAACACGAAAAUAACACAAAAAGAAGCUAUCUAGCAGUUCUACAAAGUACAAGCCUCAGUGAUAUACAGAUAAAGCAACAGUAAAUGAAUGCAUGAGGUGUGAUGCAAUGCAUCAACACUGCGGAACGUGCAGCCCGAUCCAUUUGGGUACCCCGCGCUCACUGUAGGGGUUCAAACUCCGGAGGGGCUCCUACAAGCCAAGUGUCAUAUCAUAGUAUCAUACAGUGCCAAUAGUUACACAGUUUCCAUUUCAAUACACGGUGCCAAUAGAUACCACCGUUUCUAUAUCAAAACACGAUGCCAAUAGUUAUCACCGUUUCCAAGAAAUAAUAUACAAUCCAGAAAAUAGUGGAAUCAUGAUCGUCAGCCUGAAAUAUCAUUUAAGAAUUAUUUGAGUUUUCAAAACAUAGAAAUACGGCUGAGUUGGUAAAAAUAAUGUUUAAAACCCUGGAUUAGAUUCAAAUAAUAUGCAAAUCAUGUUAACUAUGAUAUAUCAAUCUCUAAAGGAUUAUACAACUCGGCACAGAGCCCGAAACAUGGCAUCAAGCGCUAAUAUCAUCAAUAUAGUAUGCGAAGCAAUUGCCAACAAAACACAAUUUAUCCCUCGGAUGGGACCGAGUCACAAUUUUAAACAUAUGCGACCCCGCACUAGCCACGUAGUGCGUGACUAGCCUCAUAAUAGCAACACAAUGUGAUAUACCGGGGCCUUUAACCCUCAGGUCAUCAUCUAUACCCAUUACUCACCUCAAGCCGGCUACAAACUAGCUCGCAAUGCCUCUCCCUCAAGAAUCAACCUUUGCGGAUGCCAAAUCUGAAAAAAAACAAUAGGAAUACGUCACGAUAGGCUAAUGGGACAUAACCCAAUCAAAAUAACUCGAAAUACACCCAAAAACACGAAGUUGGCAAAACUCGAGCCCUGGGCCCACUUUUCAAAAAAUUACAAAAUUCACAUUUUCAGAAUCCUUGUCUCGCCACAAGUCCAUACAUAUCAAAUUUACAAGAAUCGGAGUCCAUUUAACCCCUCAAAUCAAUAUUCUAAGCUCACUUGGGUUUGAAGCACUAACACCCAUUUUUUACAUUAAAACCUUGAAUUCUUUGCGUUUAAUCCAUGAUUUUGCACUAUAAUGACAUAUUUUAGGUCCAAAAGUUCAUACCUGAUGGAUUCCCUCAAAAAUCUCUCCAGAAAUCGCCCACAAUCGCCUUAGCCCGAGGUUCCAAUGUUCUUCCCUUUAAGAUUUUGAAACCUACAAUUUCAUUAAACUAGGUCGAUUUUCGCUCCAGCAGUCCUUUUUCCGCUUCAUCGACUACUGCAUCCGCGCCCAUUUGACUUCUUCCACGGUUUAACUUAAUUCCUCAGCGACCGCUACUGCGGUCCUUGACUGCUUUCGCGACCAUCGCUCCUGCGGUCGCUUGUCCACUUCUGCGGCCCUAGCCAAAAUGCCCUUGGAAGCUUCUGCGGCCCAUCUUCCGCUUCAGCAAACACCGCCAACGCGGUCCAUUGUCCGCAAACGCGGAAAUACUAGAAUACAGACUCCCAAAUCUGAAGCAAACUCCAAAUAUUCUCGUUUAACCAUCCCGAAUCACUCCGAGGCCCCCGGGGUCCAAACCAAAAACACAAAUAUGACCAAAUACCUCAUUCAAACUUGCUCGAGUCCUGAAAACACCAACAUUAACACCAAAAUCAACACUUUCCUCAAAUCAAAGCCUAAGAUAACUUAGAGUUUUCCAAAAUCACAUUCGAUGUUGAAACCAACCAAACGAGGUCCGAAUGAGACUAUUGGUCCAUGUCCGGUUGACUUUUCCAACUUAAGAUUUCUUUAAAGAUACUAUUGGUCUCAUUUCUAACCAAAUUUAACCUAACACACUUCAAACUCACCAAACACAUAUAUAAACACAUAGGGAAGCAUAAUACGGGGAUAACGGGACUGAAAUACAAAAGACGACGGGUACGGUUGUCACAUCCUCCCCAACUAAAACAAACGCUCAUCCUCGAGCGGGUCAAGAAACUAACCUAGAGCCUCAAACAAACGUCUCUGCAUCUCCUGCUCGGUCUCCCAAGUGGCCUCCUCUACGGGCCGACCUCUCCAUUGCACCUUCACCGAAGCUAUGUCCUUUGAUCUCAACUUUCGAACCUGAUGACCCAAAAUAGCCACUAGCUCAAAGCUAUGUCCUUAGAUCACAACUUCCAAACCUGACGACCCAAAAUAGCCAUUGGCUCCACAUCAUAGGUCAAAUCAUCAUCCAGCUGGAUUGUGCUAAAGUCUAAUACAUGAGACGGGUCCUCAACAUACUUCUUGAGCAUAGAAACAUGAAACACCGGGUGAAACCCCGACAAACUGGGUGGCAAAGCAAUCAUAUAGGCAACCUCUCCAAUCCUCCUGAGUAUCUCAAUAGGUCCAAUAAACUGCGGACUCAGCUUCCCUUUCUUUCCAAACCUCAUCACGCCUUUCAUAGGAAAGACCUUCAACAGAACCUUCUCGCCCACCAUAUAAGACACAUCCUGAACCUUCCGGUCCGCAUAGCUCUUCUAACGCGACUGAGCCGUAUGAAGUCUCUCCUGGAUAACUUUCACUUUCUCUAAGGCAUCCUGAAUAACUCUGUCCCCAAUAAUCUAGCCUCGCAGGGAUCAAACCCACCGACUGGAGACCUACACCGUCUCCCACAUAAAGCCUCAUAUGGCGACAUCUGAAUGAUGGACCGACAACUAUUGUUAUAAGCAAACUCUGCAAGCGGCAAGAAAUUAUCCCAAGAACCUCCGAAAUCAAUAACACAAGCACGCAACAUGUCCUCCAAUAUCUAAAUAGUAUGACGGAACUGCCCGUCCGCCUAAGGAUGAAAAGUUGUGCUCAUCUGAAUAUGAGUGCCCAACUCCUGAUGAAAAGCCUUCCAAAACUAGGAGGAAAACUGAGUACCCCUGUUUGAGACAAUCAAAACUGGAACCCCAUGCAACCGCACAAUCUCACGGAUGAAAAUCUCUGCCAACCUCUCCGAAGAAUAGGUGGUACACACCGGAAUGAAACGCACAGACUUGGUCAGCCUAUCCACAAUCACCCAAAUGGAAUCAAAGUUCCUCGAGGUACGAGGGAGACNNNNNNNNNNNNNNNNNNNNNNNNNNNNNNNNNNNNNNNNAAGUAGAAUCAAAGUUCCUCGAAGUACGAGGGAGACCACUCACAAAGUCCAUAAUCAUCUUCUCCCAUUUCCACUCCAGAAUAUCCAUCUGCUGAAGUACACCAUCGGGUCUCUGAUGCUCAUAUUUGACAUGCUGACAAUUGAGAUACCUAGCCACAUAACUCACAAUGUCCUUUUUCAUUCUCCUCCACCAAUAAUGCUACCUCAAGUCCUGGUACAUCUUCGCCGCACCCGGAUGAAUGGAAUACCGCGAGCUAUAGGCCUCCUCUAAUAUCAUCUCUCGGAGCCCAUUAACAUUGGCCAUCCAAAUCCGGCCCUCGAUCCGCAACACACCAUCACUACCAAUAGUCACACCUCUGGCAUCAUCAUGUUAGGCCCUGUCCUUCAGGGCAAGCAAAUGCGGGUCAUCAUACUGGCGCUCCAUGAUGCUAUCAUACAAAGAAGACCGGGAAACCACACAAGCCAACACCCGACUGGGCUCUGAAAUAUCUAACCUCACCAUCCAAUUAGCCAAGGCGUGAACAUCAACUACAAGGGGCCUCUCCCCAACUGAAAUGUACGCCAAGCUACCCAUACUCACGGCCUUCCGGCUCAAAGCAUAGGCCACUACAUUGGCCUUCCCCGGGUGGUACAAUAUGGUAAUAUCAUAAUCCUUGAGUAACUCAAGCCAUCUCCGCUGUCUCAAAUUCAGAUAUUUUUGCUUAAACAAGUGCUGAAGACUGCGAUGAUCCGUAUACACCUCACAAGAUAUGCCAUAUAGAAAGUGCCUCCAAAUAUUCAAAGCAUGAACUAUAGUAGCCAACUUUAAGUGACGAACAGGGUAGUUUUUCUCAUGGGGCUUCAAUUGUCGAGAAGCAUAUGCAAUCACUCUACCUUCCUGCAUCAAAUACGUAGUCAAUCCUGACUCUCAAAGCAUCACAAUUAACGGUGUAAGAACCUGAAGCUGACAGCAAGACUAACACUGGAGCUGUGGUCAAAGCUGUCUUGAGCUUCUGAAAGCUCUCCUUGCACUCAUCGAACCAUACUCAGAAUACAUCCAAUACCAAUCCUCCAAGCAUCGCAAUAUACCGUAUAAGAACCUGAAGCUGCUGGCAAUACUAACAUUUGAUUCGUAGUCAACAAUGACUUGAGCUUAUGGAAGCUCUCCUCGCACUCAUCAGACCAUACAAAUGGUUCAUUCUUCUGCGUCAACUUCGUCAAAGGCGGAGCAAUAGAUGAAAAACCCUGAACGAACCAAUGGUAAUAACACGCCAAACCGAGGAAACUCCGAAUCUCGGAAGAUGAGGACGGUCUGGGCCAACUCUGCACCACCUCGAUCUUCUUUGGGUCAACCAGAAUACCAUCACUGGACACCACGUGUCCCAGAAAAGCCACGGAACUGAGCCAGAACUCACACUUCGAGAACUUUGCAUACAAGUUCUCCUCUCUCAACCUUUGCAAUACCACCCUCAAAUGUUGCGCGUGCUCCUCCUGGCUACGCGAGUAAACAAGAAUAUCAUUAAUAACCACAAUUAAAAAAGAAUCCAGAUAAGGCCUGAAUACAUUGUUCAUCAGGUGCAUGAAUGCUGCUACGGCAUUAGACAGCCCAAAUGAGAUAACCAGAAACUCAUAAUGCCCAUAUCUCGUCUUGAAAGUUGUCUUCAUGAUAUCGGAAUCUCUAAUCUUCAGCUGGUGAUAGCCUUAACGGAGAUCAAUCUUGGAUAAUACAUUUUCUCCCUGAAGCUGGUGAAACAAAUCCUCAAUACGGGGCAGUGGAUACUUGUUCUUUACUGUCACUUUGUUCAACUGUCUGCCCCCUGAAGUUGGUCAAACAAAUCCUCAAUACGGGUUAGUGGAUACUUGUUCUUCACUGUCACUUUAGUAAACUAUCUGUAAUCAAUGCACAUUCUUGUUGUACCAUCCUUCUUCUUUAUUAAUAACAUCGGUGUGCCCCACAGCGACACACUCGAGCGAAUGAACCCAUUAUCUAGGAGUUCCUGCAGCUGCUCCUUCAACUCCUUUAGCUCUGUUGUUACCAUAAGAUAGGGAGGAAUAGAAAUGGGCUGAGUUCCCGGUACCAAAUAAAUACCGAAGUCAAUAUCCAUGUCCGGCGGCAUGCCCGACAAGUCCGCUGGAAAUACAUCAAGAAACUCCCUCACUACGGGAACCGAAUCAAGACUAGAAGCCUCAGCUCCCACAUCCAUCACGAAUGCGAUAUAUGAUAAACAUCCCUUCCCAACCAUCCGCUGGGCCUUCAAUAAAGAGAUUACCCUGAUGGGUACAUAAUCCGUCGAACCAUUCCACACAAUACUUGGGAUACCCGGCAAUAGCCGAAGUGAAUGUUUUGGCGUGACAGUCCAGAAUAGCAUGGCACGAUGAUAGACAAUACAUGCCCAGAAUAACAUCAAAAUCCACCAUGCUCAAUAGUAGCAAGUCAGCUCGGGUCUCCAUACCCUCAAUAGUAACAAGACAAGACCAAUACACUUGGUCCACAAUGAUAGUAUCACCCAUCGGGGUAGAUACAUGCACAUACAAUGCUAGACUCCUUCGGGUAGUCCCCAAAUAAUGAGCAAAGUAAGCAGAUACAUAAGAAUAUGUAGACCCGGGAUCAAACAAAACAGAAGAGUCUAUGUGGCAAACUGAGAUAAUACAUGUGAUCACUGCAUAUGAAGCAACAGCAUCUCUCCAAUCUGGGAGUGCAUAGAAACGAGCCUGACCACCGCUCGAUCGCUCAUCCCUCCUGGGAUGGCCUCUAGAUGACUGACCCCCACCCCUACAAGACUGGGAUGGUGCUAAAGUAGAUAAAGAAGAAGAGGAAGGCUGAUCCCUCUACUGAAACCUACCACCACGAAGUCGACAACAAUGUCUCUUCAAAUGACCAAACUCCCCACACUCGAAACAACUGCCUGGAGCUGGAGAAGGGGACUGAAGGAAACCCCUCCCAGCAGAUGAACCCUGGGCUGACGAAGCUGGUUCAGAACUCUGAGCAAGGAGGGAACUGAGUGAAGACUAGCCCUGCUGGUGACCCUGACGGCCACAACCAGAAGAAGCUCCAUUGUACUUUGGGCGGCCUAACUAAGGAGGCCUAAAAGAAUGACCUAUGCCCUGAUGAAACUGGCCCCUAGAUGGAGCACCACUAUAACUUCCCGAACCUCGAGGCUUCUUGGCCUCCCUCUCCUCUCGCUCGUGACGGCGAGCCGUCUUAAUAUCGCGGGCUAUAUCCACCGCCUCCUCAAAGGUAUGACUCAGGCUCCUCUCUCGAGUCAUCAGAAUACGAAUGGGAUAAAUGAGCCCGUCCACAAAUUGUCUAAUCCUCGCUUGAUCGGUCUGGACCAUCCACGGAGCAUAACGAGCUAACUCUGCAUAUCUCAUCUCAUACAGCAUCACAGACAUAUCCCCCUAGCGAAGCAACUCAAACUGUCUGCGCAACUCCUCCCUCUGCGACCGAGGUAACCACUUCUCCAAAAAGAUAGUGGAGAACUCCUACCAAGAUAAGGGUACUGAACCUGCCGUCCUAUGCUGCUCAUAUGCCAACCACCAGGCGAAGGAUGCUCCUGAGAACUGAAAAGUGGUAAAAGAUACCCCACUAGUCUCUAAGAUCCCUGUUGUCCUGAGCAUGCGUCGACACUUGUCAAGAAACCCCUGGGCAUCCUCGCCCGAAACACCGCUAAAAGUCGGAGGUGAAAGCCUGCUAAACCUCUCCAGACGACGCUGAUCGUCAUUUGGAAUCACCGGUACCCCAUCACCUUGAACUGGAACAACUGGUUGUACAUGGGCAACUGGCUGAACUGGUGGUGCCUCUAGGGUCUGCAAACCCUGUGCACCCUGCUCUAGAAUGCAAGCUACGGCGAGUUAGCCGAGAAUUAGCUGCUACAGUGGUAGCUGAUACCACCUGAGCUAACCCGGUACAGACGGAUAAGAUCUGAGCCAACGUCUCCUGGAGACCCGGUAUCACAAUGGGCAUUGCUGGUGCCUGAGUAGGUGCAGCUGGGACAUCCACAGCUGGAGGAUGGUCCUGAAUCUGAACAGAUGGUGGGUCUUCACGUGCUGUCUCCACUGGUCCAUCUCGACCACGACCGCGGCCACACCCAAGGCCUCUAGCAGGUGGCACUAGUGGUCGUCUUCCACGUCCGAUAGCACGGGUUCUCUCCAUCUGCGAGAGAAUAGAAUAAGAAGUUUCAGUUCUCAAAUGAACAAAGCCACACGAUAAGAAUUCCAAGAAAGUGAAGUGUUUCCAUAAGUUCUAUAGCCCCUCGAGGAUAUGAUACGGACGUCUACGUACCGAUCCGUGUGACUCUACUAAACUGGCUCAUAAUUCGUGAGGCCUAGCAACCUAGGCUCUGAUACCAACUUGUCACGACCCUAACCCCGAUCGUGAUGGCGCCUGGCCACAAGGAUAGGCAAGCCCAACCAAACCAAUUCCAAAGAACGGCCUUCCAGCCCAAAAAGAGAUACAACUUUAGGGUAAAACAUCAAUUUUUUUGAAAUAUAAACUCCCAACCAGGGAUAAGCAAUACGGUGGAAAACACAUAUGAGCCAACAUCACUCCCUAAACCUUGGGGUCAAGAGUACAGAGCCUCUAACAAUACCGAAUACAAGUCUGAAAGGAAAUGAUACAAAUGUUUGACAAAACUAUAAAGGAAACAGACUGAAUGAGACAGAGUACGCGGUCCUGCUGACGCUGGCCAGCUACCUCAAUACUCUGAUACAUCGGAUAGCAACAGCAACAGCACUAGAUCUCUGGAGCUCCUGGAUCUGCACACAAGGUUCAGGAAGUAUAGGGUGAGUCUAUCAACCCAGUGAGUAAUAAGCAUGUAAAAAAACCCCGAAGAUAAGAAAACACAAAAAUAACACAAAAUGAAGCUAUCUAGCAGUUCUAUACAAUACAAGCCUCAGAGAUAUACAGAUAAAGCAACAGUACAUAAAUGCAUGAGAUGCGAUGAAAUGCAUAAACACUACGAAACGUGCAUCCCGAUCAUUUGGGUACCCGCGCUCACUGUGGGGGUUCAGACUCCGGAGGGGCUCCUACAGCCCAAGCACCAUAUCAUACAGUGCCAAUAGUUACCACUGUUUCCAUUUUAAUACACUGUGCCAAUAGUUACCACCGUUUCUAAGAAAUAAUAUACAGUCCAGAAAAUAGUAGAAUCAUGAUCGUCAGCCCGAAAUAUCAUUAAAGAAUUAUUUGAGUUUUUAUAACAUAGAAAUACGGCUGAGUUGGCAAAAAUAGUGCUUGAAACCCAGGACUGGAUUCAAUGAUAUGCAAAUCAUGCUAACUCUGAUAUAUCAAUCCCUCAAGGAUUCUACAAGUCGGCACAUGGCAUCAAGCCCUGAUAUCAUCAAUAUAGUAUGCGAAACAAUCGCCAACAUAACACAAUUUAUCCCUCGGAUUGGACCGAGUCACAAUUUUCAACAUAUACGACCCCGCACUAUCCAUGGAGUGCACGUCUAGACUCAUAAUAGCGUCACAAUGUGAUAUAAUGGGGUCUCAGGUCAUCAUCUACACCCAUUACUCACCUCAAGCCGGCCGCAAACUAGCUCGUAAUGCCUUUCCCUCGAGAAUCAACCUUCGCAGAAGUCAAAUCUGAACAAAACCAAUAGGAAUACGUCACAAUAGGCUAAUGGGACAUAACCUAAUCGAAAUAACUCAAAAUAAACCCAAAAAUACCCAGGGCCCACUUCUCAAAAAAUUACGAAAUUCAAUUUUCAGAAUCAUCGUUUCGCCACGAGUCCAUACACAUCAAAUUUACGAGAAUCAGAGUCCAUUUGACCCCUCAAAUCAACACUUUAAGCUCACUUGGGUUUCAAGCCCUAACCCCCAUUUUUGAAAUUAAAAAACUUGAAUUCUUUGUGUUUAAUCCGUGAUUUUACACUAUAAUGACAUAAUUUAGGUCCUUGAGUUCAUACCUAAAGAAUUCCCUCAAAAAUCUCUCCAACAAUCGCCCACAAUCGCCUUCAAUGCUUUAACACUACAAUGAUAUACUUUAGGUCGAAGAGUUCAUACCUGAUGAAUUCCGCCAAAAAUCUCUCCAGAAAUCGCCCACAAUUGCCUUAGCCCGAGGUCCACUGUUAUUCCCUUUUAAAAUUUUAAACCUAUUGUUUCGUUAAACCAGAUCGAUUUCCGCUCGAGCGAUCCUUUUUCCGCUUCAGCAACUCUCGCUUCCGCGCCUAUUUGACCGCUUCCGCGGUUUAACUUAAUUAUGCAGCGACCGCUUCUGCGGUCCUUGACCGCCUCCGCGACCAUCGCUCCUGCGGUCGCUUGUCCGCUUCUGCAGCCCUAGACAAAUUGCCCUUGGCCUCUUCUACGACCCAUCUUCUGCUUCAGCGGUCCAUUGUUCGCAAACGCGAACAUACCUGAAGAACGACUCCCAAAUCUGAAACAAACUCCAAAAAUUCUCGUUUAACCAUCCGGAAUCACUCUGAGGCCCCCGGGGUCCAAACCACAAACACAAAUAUGACCAAACACCUCAUUCAAACUUUCUUGAGCCUUAACAUUAACGCCAAAAUCAUCACUUUCCUUAAAUCAAAGCCUAAGAUAACUUAGAGUUUUCCAAAAUCACAUUCGAUGCCGAAACCACCAAACGAGGUUCGAAUGACCUGAAAUUUUGCACACAUAUCCAAAUUCACCUAACAAGAUACUACAACUCUUGUAAUUCCAUUCCGAACCUCGAAUAAAAUUCCCACCUAUCAAUCGGAAUUCGCCGAAAUUCAACUUCGCCAAUUCAAGCCUAAUUCUACACCGGACCUCAAAAUUCAAUUUCGUUUUCUCUCCCAAGUCACAAAUCAUCCCCGAAACUAGCGGAAUCAUCGAAAAUUCGUUCCGGGCCCUCUAAAUCUCAAGUCCAUGUCCGGUUGACUUUCCAACUUAAGAUUUCUUUAAAGAGACUAUUUGUCUCAUUUCUUACCAAAUUCAACCUAACACACUUCAAACUCACCAAACACAUAUAUCAACACACGGAAAAGCAUAAUACGGGGAUAACGGAGCUGAAUAAAGACGACGGAUCGGAUCGUCACAAGACAUGGACAAGGCUUCCUCCCUUUAUUUCAAGAACGCCAAGUUCAAGCGAAAUAGAGAAAAGAAUACAUGCCAACUAAUCAAAUUCCAGAGAAUAAAUGAAGUGCUAAUAUAACUUCAAAUUAACUGAACAUCAUAAUGUCACAUAAGACAACUUCAUAUUCCCCAAUGAAAUGAUAUAAUAAAAAAAUAUUAUUUUCAUUAAGAAAGUCCUAAGAAUCUUUCGUGCAACAUAUCUACUUCACAUGAAAAUAACAAAAAUCAGGAAUCGAGCGGAUCUUCAAGUUUUAAGCAAGAACUCAAUUGUCUAAUCAUUUACUAAAAAUAAUAAUACAGUGAAUCUUCAAAACUAACCUGGCUGAACAAGAAAACUUAAAUAAAUUGACUAAAAGCUUAGACAAACUCGGUCGAAGCUCAGCAAAAAUUUCAGCAAUCAACAGCAGCAAAUCCCACUUCUCAAACUUGUUCGAAUUUAAAUUUCCAGAAAAAAGUUGAGCAAAAGAGUAGAAUCUUAAGCUAGCUUGGUUUCAAGGCUCUUCCGUGGCUGAUUUUCCAGCAGUAACACAACCGUUAUAGGGCUGGUUUAAGGUCAGUUUUGAGCUUAAUUUAAGGGUUGUUCGAGCUAUAUUUUGGAGCUUCAUUUGAGCUGCUUUUAGCAGGAUUUUAGAGUUGAUUUGAUGGUGUUUUAACACUGAUUUUGGGUCAAUUUUGAACUCGUUUUUUGGAGAUGUUCGGAGGUCAUUCUUUGGGUGAAUCCGGGCUCAUUUUUGGGUUGGUUUUGUGGUGGGAGAGAGCUGGUUCUAAUGGGGGUUUAUGGUGGUCUUUGGGUGAAAUUUACAUGGUAAUUUGUAAUGUUUUAAUGGUUGAUCGUCGAAGUGGGUGUUAAUGGAGGUUUUCAAGUAGGUUUCAUUGAGGAAAGAUGGUGAUUUUCAUGGCUUUUUGUGUUGUGAAGAUGAUGACGGGUUGAAGAGAAAGAAGAGAUGAUGCUCCAUUAUCCUCUUCAAGGACAAAAAAAGGUGAAAUUAUCGUCUAGGUCUCCUUUCUAACGGGUAGGGUCUGUUAGGUAUAUAGAAUUAGG
Molecule: long non-coding RNA, 11297 nt
Filed under: Nicotiana benthamiana
Lineage: Eukaryota; Viridiplantae; Streptophyta; Magnoliopsida; Solanales; Solanaceae
Description: long non-coding RNA (NBEN_LNC005545)
Source: RNAcentral